RNAcentral lists this ribosomal RNA (405 nucleotides) under uncultured bacterium. Its description in RNAcentral is "partial 16S ribosomal RNA". It matches the Rfam family "Bacterial small subunit ribosomal RNA", at positions 28 to 526 of the family's 1533-position model. The record is from RNAcentral.
GACGAACGCUGGCGGCGUGCUUAACACAUGCAAGUCGAGCGGAGCGGAGAACGGGUGAGUAACGCGUGAGUAACUGCCCCCCUCUCUGGGAUAACAGUUGGAAACGGCUGCGAAUACCGGAUAGUGGGGGAUGACUCGCGUUCGAUCAGCUUGUUGGUGGGGUAGGGGCCUACCAAGGCGACGACGGGUAGCCGGCCUGAGAGGGCGACCGGCCACAUUGGGCUGAGAUACGGACCAGACUCCUACGGGGGGCAGCAGUGGGGAGUAUGUCACAAUUGGGGAAACCCUGUUGCAGCGACGCCGCGUGCGGGAUGACGGCCUUCGGGUUGUAAACCGCUUUCGGCCAUGACGCGGUAGUGGCAGAAGAAGCACCGGCUAACUACGUGCCAGCCGCCGCGGUAAUUC